GUGCCAGCAGCCGCGGUAAUACGUAGGGUGCGAGCGUUAAUCGGAAUUACUGGGCGUAAAGCGCGCGCAGGCGGUUAGAUAAGUUUGAUGUGAAAUCCCCGGGCUCAACCUGGGAACUGCAUUGUAAGACUGUCUGACUAGAGUACGGCAGAGGGGGGUGGAAUUCCACGUGUAGCAGUGAAAUGCGUANAGAUGUGGAGGAACACCGAUGGCGAAGGCAGCCCCCUGGGUCGAUACUGACGCUCAUGCACGAAAGCGUGGGGAGCAAACAGGAUUAGAUACCCUGGUAGUCCACGCCCUAAACGAUGUCAACUAGUUGUUGGUAGGGUUAAACCUAUUAGUAACGUAGCUAACGCGUGAAGUUGACCGCCUGGGGAGUACGGUCGCAAGAUUAAAACUCAAAGGAAUUGACGGGGACCCGCACAAGCGGUGGAUGAUGUGGAUUAAUUCGAUGCAACGCGAAAAACCUUACCUACCCUUGACAUGUCAGGAAUCCCGAAGAGAUUUGGGAGUGCCGCAAGG
This 522-nucleotide ribosomal RNA is filed under the name uncultured beta proteobacterium. Its description in RNAcentral is "bacterial SSU rRNA". It matches the Rfam family "Bacterial small subunit ribosomal RNA", at positions 505 to 1024 of the family's 1533-position model. Lineage: Bacteria; Pseudomonadati; Pseudomonadota; Betaproteobacteria. The record is from RNAcentral.